ACUGCCGCCGGACGGAACCGGUCACGAGGGUUGGGGAGCCCGAUGACUGGCAGGUCUCCGAGUCUGGAACGGGUCUUAGGGAGCCCGGACCAGAGCGCUCUGGCGAAGGAG
This 111-nucleotide non-coding RNA is filed under the name unclassified sequences. RNAcentral describes it as "Actinomyces-1 RNA". It matches the Rfam family "Actinomyces-1 RNA". The record is from Rfam by way of RNAcentral.